Molecule: long non-coding RNA, 2470 nt
Organism: Lepisosteus oculatus (spotted gar)
Lineage: Eukaryota; Metazoa; Chordata; Actinopteri; Semionotiformes; Lepisosteidae
Source: RefSeq, a predicted model, not a curated record
CAAGUUAAUCAAUGCUCAAGGCACCGAUUAACUAAGUCAUCUUUUAUCAAACGUACGUCACCAGCCCUAAGUUUCCCGUUGCUCAACUAGGCAAAAUGUUUAAUCGUAUUAUCUUCAUUGUCACAGGCUUACAGUUUUUAAUGCCUCUGAUGUUAUAAUUCCAGUGAUUUGCAACAGAGGAAAACAAAAACUCCUCCUGGUCGGAUUGAGCUGUAAAAAAAGUACAUUCUGUGAUAUGAAUGAACAUUACGGUCCAUACAGUAGCUACACGAUUUCCCCUGAACUUCAACUGUUAUACAGAAGUUUUUUUUAGGGGGGGCUAAGACAUCCAUAUACUCGAUACUCGCAAAUCGGACGUCACCAGGAUCAUCCAUGUCUGGAAAUUCACGGUGGAUUGUCCAAUGGGAAGGGAAGGAGGCCCCUCGGGAGGUCAGAUGGAGUUAUUUUGCAGACAAUACUGUCCCUGCGAGAAUGAGAGGGGCAGUUGUGAUACAAUGCCUUGGUCCUUGCUGUUUUGCGCCCUGUCGUGCUGCUCAGAACUUUUGCCGAAAUUGUGAAUUAGAACGCCAGUCCUGCUGUUUACAGUCUCCGACUCAUCCGUUAACACGCCCGAAAAGACGAAGAUCAGAUUUGUUGUGAUAAAUUGACGGAAGAGCUCAUGGUUUUAAAAUAACCUUUUUUGACGCUUACAGUUUUUUUUUUCUCCCGUGUCAUGGAUCGUGCUACUUCGGAUGAAAACCUGGAAAUGUAGUUAUUGAAGAGGAUUUUAAAUAGUAUGUCGUCUCGUCGGUGGAAUUGAACAGGAAACAAAGAAGAACUGUCUUUUAAACAAAGGGGAAAAACAUCUGGUCUAGUCUUUCUCUGAAACUUCAUCCAGUGACAAAGAAGAACUGUUAUUAAAACUAAGGGUAACCACAUCUGGUACAGCCUUCUCUCUGAAGCUCCAUCCAGUGAGUCAUUAUAUUUGGUCACUCAUCUGGGACAGAAGACAAAACUGGUACUUUAUUGUUCUCUGCCCGCACAUCAGAGGGAUUAACAAAUGAUGCUUUGAACUAAAGUGCAGAAGCCCACACUGGAUAUGUGCUGGCCCAACUGUUGUAACUCUUGAUGCCACACAAUAACGUUGAUGAUGGAAUAAAAAUCUUUAAAGCAAAUCUUAUUACCCUUGGUAUCUCAUAACACAAAAUAUAUGGGAAUUCAAAGUAAGGGAAAAUUAGCUGAAGUUAAUAUAACAGAAUACUUUAUCUCCAGUAGACAGCAUUCGUUAUGAAUACACAUGGACUGAAAAGCUUUGAAGCUGAGUCUUUUUGAUAUCUGCUUGUUCCAACCUCUCUGUGUGCUGGCUUGGAAUUUAGAGUGCCUCAUCGUUACAUAUGCAUUUUUAAAAGACUUGUGAGCACACAUUCUUUAGGUCUGGAGUCUUCAGUCAGGGCCAUCUUUCCUCAUGGAAUCUGGUCUGAACACAGGGCUCUCCACAGGCGCCAUUGUGGCCAUUGUAUGCAACUCUCUGGUGGCCGUCUUGAUCCUUAUCCUUUUUGUGAUCCUGUACAAAGCUUGUAAGGUACCCUCUAAUCAGGAGAGAGUUCCUGUCUUGGCCACUGGGCAAGAAGGGCAAAAGAAUGAACAGAAAUACCUAUUGGCAGCUUAACAAAGCAUCUUUAAUAUUCUGUAGGCAUAACGUUAAAACAAAGUUUUCUGCUAAAGUGGCUUUUAAUAUACCAGGCAAUAAAGCCUUUAUUCCCAAUUGCCUUAUAUCUGUUGGAUUUAUUAUCCAUUUAUGCUUUCAUCAAGAAAUGCUGAUCUCAAAUAGAUCAUCUAUUUACUUGAACCCAAAGUUCUUUACCAGUCAUGAGGGGAAUUAGAAUAUAACUGUGGCGGGAGAAAUGGUGUUUAGGUAUAUUCUAGUGCAUUUUAAAUGCAAAACUGAUGCGCCCAUACUGUACUUUCUUGCUUGUAACUGGUCAAGAAGUGUAUCCAGAGGCUUGGUUAGGCUCCAUGAGUGUUAAACUGCAGCAAACACCAGAAAUGGAAGAAAAUGUCUUGGAACACAAAAUGUAUAGCGUUAAAUGUUUAGGUUACAGUUCUAGAGCAUGUCUGUAGUUUGUUUUCCAUGACCAAAAAUCUAAAUGUAUUAUUUGUGAAUGAUUCUGUUGGUAGUAAUUUUUAUUUUUCAGUACAGUACCUUAUCUUUAAAUGUGGUGAGGAAAGCAACAAACAGAUGCUCUAGCUCACUUUUGGAAGCUGUUACCGUCAAUGCCAGUCAAUGUUUCACUGUUGACAGAAUGGAUACUUAUUUAGCUCCAGAGUAAUGCCCGUUUGUAUUAAAAUAUUCCAGAGGCUGCUACGUUAACAGCUGGUACUGGCUUGGGUAAGACAUAUGGGCACAUGCUCUUCCACGAGACUGCAAAGCACUUUCCCAAAUGCUUCCAAAUCUUGCUAUAUCCCAAAAUAUAUUUGAGCAGAAAAAAAA